Molecule: ribosomal RNA, 238 nt
Filed under: uncultured bacterium
Lineage: Bacteria
Description: partial 16S ribosomal RNA
Rfam family: Bacterial small subunit ribosomal RNA
Source: RNAcentral
CGGAACGGGUGAGUAACACGUGAGUAACCUGCCCCAGAGUGGGGGACAACAGUUGGAAACGACUGCUAAUACCGCAUAAGCCCACGGAACCGCAUGGUUCAGAGGGAAAAGGAGCAAUUCGCUUUGGGAUGGACUCGCGUCCGAUUAGCUAGAUGGUGAGGUAACGGCCCACCAUGGCGACGAUCGGUAGCCGGACUGAGAGGUUGAUCGGCCACAUUGGGACUGAGACACGGCCCAG